UCAUCAGCUCGCGUUGACUAC
Molecule: non-coding RNA, 21 nt
Filed under: Arabidopsis thaliana (thale cress)
Lineage: Eukaryota; Viridiplantae; Streptophyta; Magnoliopsida; Brassicales; Brassicaceae
Source: RNAcentral